GAUCCUGGCUCAGGAUGAACGCUAGCUACAGGCUUAACACAUGCAAGUCGAGGGGAGACGACAUCGAAAGCUUGCUUUUGAUGGGCGUCGACCGGCGGACGGGUGAGUAACGCGUGGGUAACCUGCCUCAUACAGGGGGGAUAACAGUUAGAAAUGACUGCUAAUACCGCAUAAGCGCACAGUACCACAUGGUACGGUGUGAAAAACUCCGGUGGUAUGAGAUGGACCCGCGUCUGAUUAG
RNAcentral lists this ribosomal RNA (241 nucleotides) under uncultured bacterium. Its description in RNAcentral is "partial 16S ribosomal RNA". It matches the Rfam family "Bacterial small subunit ribosomal RNA", at positions 15 to 244 of the family's 1533-position model. The record is from RNAcentral.